Malaclemys terrapin pileata is the source of this 1514-nucleotide long non-coding RNA. RefSeq lists it as uncharacterized. The record is from RefSeq and is a predicted model, not a curated record. The transcript has 2 exons. NCBI's taxonomy places the organism in Eukaryota, Metazoa, Chordata, Testudines, Emydidae.
GGGGGUCUGCGCGCGUCUCUCUGGCCGUCACCGCCGCCUCCUGCACGAGCAUCCAGUGCGCGCACGCGCCGGGGUACGUGCAUGCGCGGUGCGGGCAGGGCGCGCCUGCCGAGUGGGGGCAGGGGGACUUGCUCAUUCUCGCGGGCGGGUCCCCCCCCUCCCUCACGGGCCGCGCUGUGCGAGACGAGGGGUGGCGCUCGCGCGCCGCGGCGACUGUGAGGCUCGCGCGGCCGCGAUGCGGUGACGUCAUCCCGAAGCGGGCGCCAGAAGGAGGAGGCGUUUUCUCGGGAACCCGCCCAGCCACGCUUGGGUGCGCGAGCUUGGCGCCCGCCCGCCUGCCUCACGGAGCCGUCCCGCAGCGCGGCAGCGAGCUGGGUUGGCUGCCGAGGUGCCGCGGGGUAACGGUCGCCGCGCGGCCUGGGUGUGGGUCCGGCAGGGAAGUGGGGCCGCCUCGCGCCCCUACCCGCAGCGCCGGGCCGAGGUGCUGCCACUCCCCGCGGGCCCGGCAGGUGGAGGAGGAUGAGCGUCGUGUGCCACCUCCUGCGGGGGCAGUUGUAGCGGGGCCCCCUGUAACAGCGGUGUACGUGGGCUGAACGGGGCGCGGCGGCCCAGCUUUCUCCGGCCGGGCCUGACUGUAGGGGGGGCGAAGGAAACCUGCGGGGCAGUAACUGAACUAGCGGGGGAGGCUGAUCAUUAGCCAAGUGCCCCUUGGCCGUGCGCCUGUGUGAUGGCGACAAGGCCAAAACUGGGUCAGCGCCCACAAACCACCUGCCUGAUAGGACUCUCUCAUAAUUUACACCAGGGUGAGAGAAGAAUCAGGCCCCUCAGAAUUUUUUGAAGUAAUUCCAAUGAUUCCAAUGGUCAAGGAAACAGUCAGUACCAACCAGCAGGAAGAGAAGUGUUCAGGCACCGAUGGUAUUCUGCAAUAGUACUAUUACCUCUGGAAAAAAUAUCCUUGGAAAUUCAGACUACAUACCACAAACUGGAAUAAGAAAUGAAUCCACAAAGCUUCAGAGACAUCACCCAAUCUGUACUCAUAAAUCUCCUACCCAAAUGGAGAUAAACAGUUAAUCCAGUUAAAAACGUAUCUAUACCUACAGGACCUAAUCUGAAUUUGUUCACAAGUUAAAAGAAGUCUACCUUGUUAUAAUAAUAAUAUAAUAAAAGCACUUAAUUUUAAAACAAUUGUUAACUAUUUUAAAUCUAAGUAUAAGAGACUAUUUUGCAUAUCUUAUAUAAAAUGUUAACAAUCUGGUUGUUUUCUCUGUACCUUUGUGUAUCUGUGUGUUUCCUCAUAUGUAAUAGAGCAGAGGAGUGUAACAGUAAUAGCAUAUAGUGACACAUUCUUUAUGCUCACACAACUCCCAUCAAAAUGAAUGUAAAUUGUACUUGCAUACCCUAUUAAAAAUUAAUAGAAGUUGCAGCUGCAUAUCUGACGGCAGAAUUUAGCCCACUACAUAUUAAAGUAAAUAUUUAAUAGACAACCUAAUAAAAAUGUAAUAUAACAAUGUCAA